CAGCUAAGGAAUCUAUGAUCUGCUUCUGGGAAUAAUAACCAACCAACCACCAAAAAUGUGAGGACAUUGAUUGCCAGCCGAGUAUGAUUGAGUCCAGUCAAUAACACACAGCAUGGAGAUGACCUGUCAUAAGAAGCCCAGCACAAAUUGCUGGUCCUCUGAACUGACCAAGUGGAGGGGAAGACACAGGAAUGAAAACCACAUGGACCGGAGCACCUCCUUCGGCACCCUGUUGAGUAUUCUACACGUCAGAUAACUUGAAACAGUGAAUGGACUGUA
Molecule: long non-coding RNA, 279 nt
Filed under: Dasypus novemcinctus (nine-banded armadillo)
Lineage: Eukaryota; Metazoa; Chordata; Mammalia; Cingulata; Dasypodidae
Description: lncRNA (ENSDNOG00000050349.1)
Source: RNAcentral